Molecule: ribosomal RNA, 497 nt
Filed under: uncultured bacterium
Lineage: Bacteria
Description: partial 16S ribosomal RNA
Rfam family: Bacterial small subunit ribosomal RNA
Source: RNAcentral
GAUGAACGCUGGCGGCGUGCCUAAUACAUGCAAGUCGAGCGAACGGACGAGAAGCUUGCUUCUCUGAUGUUAGCGGCGGACGGGUGAGUAACACGUGGAUAACCUACCUAUAUGACUGGGAUAACUUCGGGAAACCGGAGCUAAUACCGGAUAAUAUUUUGAACCGCAUGGUUCAAAAGUGAAAGACGGUCUUGCUGUCACUUAUAGAUGGAUCCGCGCUGCAUUAGCUAGUUGGUAAGGUAACGGCUUACCAAGGCAACGAUGCAUAGCCGACCUGAGAGGGUGAUCGGCCACACUGGAACUGAGACACGGUCCAGACUCCUACGGGAGGCAGCAGUAGGGAAUCUUCCGCAAUGGGCGAAAGCCUGACGCAGCAACGCCGCGUGAGUGAUGAAGGUCUUCGGAUCGUAAAACUCUGUUAUUAGGGAAGAACAUAUGUGUAAGUAACUGUGCACAUCUUGACGGUACCUAAUCAGAAAGCCACGGCUAACUACGUG